AUCUUCCACAAUGGGCGCAAGCCUGAUGGAGCAACACCGCGUGAGUGACGAAGGGUUUCGGCUCGUAAAGCUCUGUUGUUGGAGAAGAACGUGCGUGAGAGUAACUGUCCAUGCAGUGACGGUAUCCUCCCAGAAAGUCCCGUCUAACUACGUGCCAGCAGCCGCGGUAAUACGUAGGUGGCAAGCGUUAUCCGGAUUUAUUGGGCGUAAAGCGAGCGCAGGCGGUUGCUUAGGUCUGAUGUGAAAGCCUUCGGCUUAACCGAAGAAGUGCAUCGGAAACCGGGCGACUUGAGUGCAGAAGAGGACAGUGGAACUCCAUGUGUAGCGGUGGAAUGCGUAGAUAUAUGGAAGAACACCAGUGGCGAAGGCGGCUGUCUGGUCUGCAACUGACGCUGAGGCUCGAAAGCAUGGGUAGCGAA
This 419-nucleotide ribosomal RNA is filed under the name uncultured bacterium. Its description in RNAcentral is "bacterial SSU rRNA". It matches the Rfam family "Bacterial small subunit ribosomal RNA", at positions 361 to 772 of the family's 1533-position model. The record is from RNAcentral.